UGAUCUAUUCGACCUUCGCGGUUUCCAACCGAGGGCGCCGGCCGUUGAGGCCGGCGCCUUUUUCUUUGGCGC
This 72-nucleotide small RNA is filed under the name Methylobacterium sp. B4. RNAcentral's name for it is "suhB". The record is from RNAcentral. Lineage: Bacteria; Pseudomonadati; Pseudomonadota; Alphaproteobacteria; Hyphomicrobiales; Methylobacteriaceae.